GACGAACGCUGGCGGCGUGCUUAACACAUGCAAGUCGAACGGAAAGGCCCUGCUUUUGUGGGGUGCUCGAGUGGCGAACGGGUGAGUAACACGUGAGUAACCUGCCCUUGACUUUGGGAUAACUUCAGGAAACUGGGGCUAAUACCGGAUAGGAGCUCCUGCUGCAUGGUGGGGGUUGGAAAGUUUCGGCGGUUGGGGAUGGACUCGCGGCUUAUCAGCUUGUUGGUGGGGUAGUUGCUUACCAAGGCUUUGACGGGUAGCCGGCCUGAGAGGGUGACCGGCCACAUUGCGACUGAGAUAGGGCCCAGACUCAUACGGGAGGCAGCAGUGGGGAAUAUUGCACAAUGGGCGGAAGCCUGAUGCAGAAACGCAGCGUGCGGGAUGACGGCCUUCGGGUUGUAAACCGAUUUCGCCUGUGACGAAGCGUGAGUGACGGUAAUGGGUAAAGAAGCACCGGCUAACUACGUG
Molecule: ribosomal RNA, 468 nt
Filed under: uncultured bacterium
Lineage: Bacteria
Description: partial 16S ribosomal RNA
Rfam family: Bacterial small subunit ribosomal RNA
Source: RNAcentral